GUCUACAAAAAUACCAUCCUGAGCAUUCCCAAUCUCAUCUGAUCUCAGAAGCUAAGCAGGGUCAGAUCUGGUUAGUACUUGGGUGGGAGAAAUUGAAAUAGUGGUAGAAC
Molecule: ribosomal RNA, 110 nt
Organism: Fukomys damarensis (Damara mole-rat)
Lineage: Eukaryota; Metazoa; Chordata; Mammalia; Rodentia; Bathyergidae
Source: Ensembl